Long non-coding RNA from Cyprinus carpio carpio, 547 nucleotides. The record is from Ensembl. Lineage: Eukaryota; Metazoa; Chordata; Actinopteri; Cypriniformes; Cyprinidae.
CCAAGAAAUCAAAAGAAAAAUACUGGACACCUGUGACAUCACAAUGAAAAUUGUGGCUGUUUAGGAAAACUAAAGCACCAAUCACUGAAUUCACAGAGGGGGUUUUUGUAUGAAGGUACCUCCCGAGGCACCAUAACAUCAGCUGUUUGGACUCUCAUUCUGAUGGCACCCAUUCACUGCAGAGGAUCUAUUUGUGAGAAAUUGAUAUAAUGCAAAAUUUCUCAAAUCUGAUGAAGAAACAAACUCAUCUACAUCUUGGAUGGCCUGAGAACCCAGACUGUGAUAUAAGAGUCUCCGUGAAAACAGGCGAGAAUGCUGGGAGGCCAUACGAGCAUCUUCACAGCCACCUGAGCUGACGGCUCGCACUGUUGAGGUGUUGGGCCCUCAUAUAUUUAUCCAGGGAAAUCAAUAGCUGAGAAAUCAAUUAGUGCCUGUCUGUGUGAGUAUUGCACGCCUGCCAUGGCCAAGCAGGACGCUUCCUGUUCAUUAAAUCAGUUCACCUAAUGAUCUCAAUCGCUCGGCUGUCUGAUGCAAUCGCCUGCAUGCC